RNAcentral lists this long non-coding RNA (565 nucleotides) under Numida meleagris (helmeted guineafowl). RNAcentral's name for it is "lncRNA (ENSNMEG00000021894.1)". The record is from RNAcentral. Lineage: Eukaryota; Metazoa; Chordata; Aves; Galliformes; Numididae.
AGACAGCCUCAGGUAUUUGGUGCCUAUCAGGGAAAGUGAGAGCCCUGCAAUGCUAGAGGGCAUCAAACUGGGCUCUGGUUCUGAAUGGUUGUGCUGAGAUGUCCUCCUCCUGCUUUCACCACAUGGAGCCUCACAUGGCUGAUUGGGCAGGCUCGUUGAGCUGUCCUGCUUGCUUCAAAGUGCAGUGUGCAGAUGGCUGCUUUCUGAUCAUGGAGUGAGAUUCUAGUGGCUUGAAUUUUGUCUGGACAGAGAAAAUGGACAAGGUUCCAGGAACAUUAAUUGAUUUUUGGAAGGACCUGAUGCUGAGGACCCAGUGUUCACACUACGGGCAUUUCAAGGAGGUCUGCUUUCAUCUAGCUCUACUCUCUUCUCUUGGACAGAAAUGCCAUUAGCAGUAGAAGACCACCUUCUGGUUUAGCUUCAUCGAUAAGGAGAGUGGUGUGCAUGGUUCAAUAUCACCCAGUGAAUCAAAGCGUGGUUAACUGGAGCCCAUCAGGAGAUUUACUCCAAAAACAGACUCUUGGUCUGAAUGAAGAUAUUCCUGUAAUGCACCUUGAUAUUUCUU